This 301-nucleotide ribosomal RNA is filed under the name uncultured bacterium. RNAcentral's name for it is "partial 16S ribosomal RNA". It matches the Rfam family "Bacterial small subunit ribosomal RNA", at positions 509 to 807 of the family's 1533-position model. The record is from RNAcentral.
CAGUAGCCGCGGUAAUACAGAGGGUGCGAGCGUUAAUCGGAUUUACUGGGCGUAAAGCGUGCGUAGGCGGCUUUUUAAGUCGGAUGUGAAAUCCCUGAGCUUAACUUAGGAAUUGCAUUCGAUACUGGGAAGCUAGAGUAUGGGAGAGGAUGGUAGAAUUCCAGGUGUAGCGGUGAAAUGCGUAGAGAUCUGGAGGAAUACCGAUGGCGAAGGCAGCCAUCUGGCCUAAUACUGACGCUGAGGUACGAAAGCAUGGGGAGCAAACAGGAUUAGAGACCCGGGUAGUCCCUGUCUCUUAUAC